Coregonus clupeaformis (lake whitefish) is the source of this 696-nucleotide long non-coding RNA. RefSeq lists it as uncharacterized. The transcript is spliced from 3 exons. NCBI's taxonomy places the organism in Eukaryota, Metazoa, Chordata, Actinopteri, Salmoniformes, Salmonidae. The record is from RefSeq and is a predicted model, not a curated record.
GGAGGGGAGGGAGGAGAGGUUAGGCUGUCUGAACGUACAUCAUCAGCUGUGGAGGGGAGGGAGGAGAGGUUAGGCUGUCUGAACGUACAUCAUCAGCUGUGGAGGGGAGGGAGGGGAGGUUAGGCUGUCUGAACGUACAUCAUCAGCUGUGGAGGGGAGGGAGGAGAGGUUAGGCUGUCUGAACGUACAUCAUCAGCUGUGGAGGGGAGGGAGGGGAGGUUAGGCUGUCUGAACGUACAUCAUCAGCUGUGGAGGGGAGGGAAGGCUGUCUGAACGUACAUCAUCAGCUGUGGAGGGGAGGGAGGAGAGGUUAGGCUGUCUGAACGUACAUCAUCAGCUGUGGAGGGGAGGGAGGGGAGGUUAGGCUGUCUGAACGUCCAUCAUCAGCUGUGGAGGGGAGGGAGGGGAGGUUAGGCUGUCUGAAUGUCCAUCAUAGAGAGACAGAUGGAGGGGAGGUUAGGCUGUCUGAAUGUCCAUCAGAGAGAGACAGAUGGAGGGAGGAGAGGUUAGGCUUUCUGAAUGUCCAUCAGAGAGAGACAGAUGGAGGGAGGAGAGGUUAGGCUGUCUGAAUGUCCAUCAUAGAGAGACAGAUGGAGGGGAGGUUAGGCUGUCUGAAUGUCCAUCAUAGAGAGACAGAUGGAGGGAGGAGAGGUUAGGCUGUCUGAAUGUCCAUCAUAGAGAGACAGAUGGAGGGAG